CUACUAGGGUUUCUAAUCCUGUUUGCUCCCCACGCUUUCGCACAUGAGCGUCAGUACAUUCCCAAGGGGCUGCCUUCGCCUUCGGUAUUCCUCCACAUCUCUACGCAUUUCACCGCUACACGUGGAAUUCUACCCCUCCCUAAAGUACUCUAGCUACCCAGUCUGAAAUGCAAUUCCCAGGUUAAGCCCGGGGAUUUCACACCUCACUUAAAUAGCCGCCUGCGUGCCCUUUACGCCCAGUUAUUCCGAUUAACGCUCGCACCCUCCGUAUUACCGCGGCUGCUGGCAC
Molecule: ribosomal RNA, 289 nt
Filed under: uncultured Pasteurellaceae bacterium
Lineage: Bacteria; Pseudomonadati; Pseudomonadota; Gammaproteobacteria; Pasteurellales; Pasteurellaceae
Description: partial 16S ribosomal RNA
Source: RNAcentral